This 129-nucleotide ribosomal RNA is filed under the name Pogona vitticeps (central bearded dragon). Lineage: Eukaryota; Metazoa; Chordata; Lepidosauria; Squamata; Agamidae. The record is from RNAcentral.
GAUGAAGCUAUAAUCAAUGCCAUACACUCUGAAUAUACAGUAACUGAUUUCAUCUCAGAAGCUAAGCAGGCUUGGGACCGGUUAGGACUUGGAUGGGGGACCACUAGAGAGUCCUAGCCAUCUUCAGUU